GAGAACAUUUACAGAGGACUGUGGGUAAAGCAAAGUCUUCAAGGGAAGAUAACAAAGGAUGAAACAAUGGUGUUGUGUGACUUCCUAGUGUGAAUCAUGGCAAUACAGUGAAAGACAGUGAUUUACUGCUUUUGAGGGCGUGCAUGUAUAUGAUUAACGGAUGGAAGUGCAGGACUCCAAGAUUUACUUCCUUCCCUUUCCAGCAGAAUUACCUGAGACGAGUAAAAUCUACUGGUGGAGUCACUCCAUUAUUCUUAUCUGUGGAGAUCUAGAUCUUGAUUUGAAAGUUUCUGAGAAAAUCUUCAGCUCAGACUUGAGGGUCAACUUUACCAGCUGAAGUGACUACAUCCUGCCUGCUUUCAGCUCCAGUGGAAAAUGCAUUAAUCCCAGAGUCUCCGUGAGGUUUCCUGUUUGAUGACAUAAUCAGAAAAUCCUCCUCACAUUGCCCUUGGGGUUGCUGUCUGGAUGUUAUGUUGUCUUGGAUCUGCAUUUACUGCUCAACCACAUCUAAUUUGAUGUCCUCUGCAGAUUUAAAAUGUGUGCCUUCUUUUCCGUCACCAAGUCAUCCCUGGGUUACUACUGAACAUCCUUCUCAAUUCCCCCCGACCCAUGGAUGGCUGUUCUCCAUUGUCUGUUUCACCAGAUGUCCUCAAAACAAACAGACAGAAGAAGGAAGUGGCUAAUGGAGCUGUGGAGUCCAAGUGUGACUGCCAAGAGGAAUCCAGCAAAGCCAAAAAGCCCAAGCAUGUAGCCCUGCCCGAAGCACGCCACACGCAUGGAAAACCCAGAGGAAAUGAGUGAGGAUCAAUGGGAAGAAGAGAGCCAGCCAGGAAGUUGAAGAUUUGUCCAGGAGCAGAUAGCUGAAGAGAGAGAGAGAGAAGAGAGAACGGCUUACAGCUCAGGUCCUCUCUCCAUGCUUAGGAACCACUACAAAUGCUACUGCCUUGAGUCUCAUUUUGUUUCCCUCUGGAAACCACAUGUGUACCUUGUUUGCAACAGUAUGGGCUCACAGGCAGAAGGAAUUUUCCUUGUCUUGGAUGAGACUUUUGACUUGGACUUUUGGGUUAAGGAUUUACAGAAAGCGUGGUGCUGGCAUCUGAUCAGCUUCUGGGGUGGCCUCAGGAAGCUUACAAUCAUGGUGGCAUUUGAAGUGGAAGCGAGAGAGAGAAGAGGAGAUGCAACACACUUUUAAACAAGAUUUCAGGAGAACUCAUUCACUAUGUUCUGGAGACCAGAAGGCCAAAAUCAAAAGUAUGGGCAGGCUUGAUUUCUUUAGAAGACUCCAGCGGAGAACUGUGUCUCCUUGCUUCUGAUUCUACAUCUCCAUCCAUGGGCCACUGUUUCAGCAACCUCAGCCAGUGCAACACAACCUCAGCCAAGAAGAGUAUGCAGAGAAAGGAGUCCCCUACCUGCCACAAAACUGUUGUCUGAAAACUGUCUCAUAUUGUCUCAAGUUGUCAUUCAUUGUGAAUUAGACCUGUUUAACAUGUAA
This 1492-nucleotide long non-coding RNA is filed under the name Homo sapiens (human). RNAcentral describes it as "cancer susceptibility 15". Lineage: Eukaryota; Metazoa; Chordata; Mammalia; Primates; Hominidae. The record is from RNAcentral.